Callithrix jacchus (white-tufted-ear marmoset) is the source of this 299-nucleotide unclassified non-coding RNA. It matches the Rfam family "Metazoan signal recognition particle RNA". From Rfam's summary of the family: The signal recognition particle (SRP) is a universally conserved ribonucleoprotein. It is involved in the co-translational targeting of proteins to membranes. The eukaryotic SRP consists of a 300-nucleotide 7S RNA and six proteins: SRPs 72, 68, 54, 19, 14, and 9. Lineage: Eukaryota; Metazoa; Chordata; Mammalia; Primates; Cebidae. The record is from Ensembl.
GCCAGGCGCGGUGGCGCGUGCCUGUAGUCCCAGCUACUUGGGAGGCUGAAGUGGGAGAAUCGCUUGAGCCCAGGAAUUCUGGGCUGUAGUGCGCUUUGCCUAUCGGGUGUCUACACUAAGUUCGGCAUCAAUAUGGUGACCUACCGGGAUCGAAGAACCACCAGGUUGCCUAAGGAGGGCUGAACCGGCCGGGUCAAAAACGGAGCAGGUCAAAACUGCCGCGCUGAGCAGGUAGCCAGGGGUGAUCAGGUGACCAGGAUGAGUCAAGAUGGAGCUGGGGUGGGGGAGGGGGAACAGAU